Molecule: small nuclear RNA, 103 nt
Filed under: Neotoma lepida (desert woodrat)
Lineage: Eukaryota; Metazoa; Chordata; Mammalia; Rodentia; Cricetidae
Source: RNAcentral
GUGCUUGCUUGGCAGCAUGUAUAAUAGAAUUGGAACAACACAGGGAUUAACAGCACUCCUGCACAAGGAUGGCAUGCAAAUUCAUGAAGGAUUCCUUGUUUAA